This 65-nucleotide transfer RNA is filed under the name Onthophagus rorarius. RNAcentral's name for it is "tRNA-Leu". The record is from RNAcentral. Lineage: Eukaryota; Metazoa; Arthropoda; Insecta; Coleoptera; Scarabaeidae.
UCUAAUGUGGCAGAAUAGUGCAAUGAAUUUAAGCUUCAUAUAUAAAAUUAAACUUUUCUUUAGAA